Molecule: long non-coding RNA, 478 nt
Filed under: Vigna radiata
Lineage: Eukaryota; Viridiplantae; Streptophyta; Magnoliopsida; Fabales; Fabaceae
Description: long non-coding RNA (VRAD_LNC010668)
Source: RNAcentral
ACUAGAAACCAAACAACACUUAUUCACAUGUUAAAGCCAUAGGAGAAAAUAAGAAGGAAAAUGGCUUCAAAGGGUGUUGUUGCACCCGUUGCCCAUUUCCUUUUCCUCUCCCUUAUUUUCUUUCCCAUGGUUAGUUCAAACAACCAUUCCCUUCCACUAGAAUCCUCACCACUUCGCAAACAAGACCCACCACAUCACAAACCACUCCCACCACAUCGUGAACAACCACCACAUCACGAACAACCACCACAUCCUAAAAAACCACCAGUAUCACACAAAUCACCCCCACCACCCCUACCUCGUCGUGUACCACCUCCACCACAUUCUAAAAAACCACCAAUAUCACAUAAGUCACCACCACCACCCCCACUACGUCGUGUACCACCUCCUAAGAAACCACCAGUAUCACAUAAAUCACCACCACCACCACCCCCACCACGUCGUGUACCACCUCCACCACCUCCUAAGAAACCACNNN